This 538-nucleotide ribosomal RNA is filed under the name Mycosphaerellaceae sp. 1 JM-2013. RNAcentral describes it as "eukaryotic LSU rRNA". The stretch from base 155 to 308 matches the Rfam family "5.8S ribosomal RNA". Lineage: Eukaryota; Fungi; Ascomycota; Dothideomycetes; Mycosphaerellales; Mycosphaerellaceae. The record is from RNAcentral.
UUGGGGUUAAGGUGCAUGUCUACUCCAUGUUGCUAUGUCCCUUUGUUGUGAACUCUGUUGCCUCGGGGCGACUAUGCCUUGGGGCGGGGGCGGCGGGUGGACCUUCAAACUCUUGCGUCCUUUUUGUAAUUGCAAUCCUUAACUAAUACAUAUAAACUUUUAACACUUUAUCCCUUGGAUCUGGCAUCUAUGAACUCCACAACGAAAUGCGAUAAAUGAUGUGAAUUGCGUAAAUUGCUGAAUCAUCGAAUCUUUGAACGCUCUUUGCGCCCCCUGGUAUUCCUGGGGGCAUGCCUGUUCGACCGUCAUUUCACCACUUUGUACUCGCUUCUUUUGGGCAACGCGGUCCCCCCCGUGCCUCAAAUCGACCGGACGGGUCUUCUGUCCCCUAACCGUUGGGGAAACGAUUCCCUAAAGGGUGCUCGGGAGGCUACUCCAUCAACCAAAGCCAUUUCUAAGGUUGACCUUUGAUCAAGUAUGGAUCCCCGAUGAACUUAGGAUUAUCGCUAAACUGAAGAAUAUCAAUAAGCGGAGGAAA